This 435-nucleotide ribosomal RNA is filed under the name Triticum aestivum (bread wheat). RNAcentral describes it as "partial small subunit ribosomal RNA". The record is from RNAcentral. Lineage: Eukaryota; Viridiplantae; Streptophyta; Magnoliopsida; Poales; Poaceae.
AUGACGACGGCGGGGCAGCGGUGGGGUCGGGCCAGCGUCGGGCUGCGGUGCGGUCGACCAGCGCCUGGCAAAGGCAGUGCCUCGGCUGCAGCGGCAUCAGGCCAGGGCGCAGCUACUGGCCAGGGCACUGUUGGGUCGGCCGUCGGCGUGGCUGGAAGUUCCUGUCAGGGUGUCCCCGGGUUGGCAUCGGCAAUAGCUUCAGGCCGGGCGCAGCCACAUGGGCUUGUUCAGGUGGCUAAAUGGCACUCCUGGGAAUGCAAUGUUAGUAGUAGCAAUACAGAGGCUCAUUUGAACGCAGUGUUAGUAGUAGCUACUGACCAUCUAGUUAAUGAUCUGUUAGUAAUGAUCAAAUUGUCUAGCAAUGUUUGUAAUGGAGGAGUUAGUUUGCUUGGCUGUGAUCACAACAAGAUUAUUGCUUUACUUUAUUUCUGUUAA